This is a long non-coding RNA of Heterocephalus glaber (naked mole-rat), 4942 nucleotides long. Lineage: Eukaryota; Metazoa; Chordata; Mammalia; Rodentia; Bathyergidae. The record is from Ensembl.
GACGAGUGCAGCACCGCGGGCGAGGUCUGAGCAGAGCGGUUCCCCUGCCUGGCCUCGGCUCCUCACCUCCCCGGGGCGCUGCAUGGGCCCCACGGCCUUGUCACUUUGUCCCCAGUACUUUUCUAACUCCCACUGGAGUGAGGCUCCCAGGACACUGAAUGUGUUUUGUUGGGGUUUUUUGGGGUACCGGGGAUCAAACUCGGGACCUUGUGCUUGCAAGGCAGGUGCCAGAACCGAAAGCACUGAGCUAAAUCCCCAGGUCCCCGCUUUUUUUUUUGGUACCGGGGAUCGAACUCUGGUCCUUGCGCUUGCACAGCAGGAAGCGGAAACCACUGAGCUAAAUCCCCGGCCCUGAAUGUGUUCUCUUGCUUAUCUCCUUGUCCCCCAAGCCCACAAAGCAACGUUAACUGCGUGCGUGCAAGUCCAGCCCUGUCCAGCGCCCUUCUGCCCUGCUGUCUUAACCCCAAACUCCCGGGGCGGCCAGGGCACCACUGAGCGAUCAGUGCUGGAAGCAGGCGUUAGGCAGUAAACUUUUUACUUCUGGGAGGUGUUGUGUGUGCGGGGGGGUCUUCACAUCCAGAGGGAGGUCACAGCCUGAGUGUCCAGGUGGGCGCUCUUGGGUUCACCUCACCCUGCGCCCCCAGAGCAGGGGGGGCUGCAGCAGUGCACAUGACGCAGUGACACCCACUGACAAAGACACCAGGAGGCCAGGGCUAGAAACAGCUUAGUAUAUUGAUCUGGGGAGGGAAGGGUGCAGAUGGGAAACAGGGUGGCAAGGGGCUCCUUAGUGUUUGCCAGUAACUACCUCCAGGCUCCCUUCACCCCCUGGCCUUCCUCCUCUGUCUGGUUCUCACCCUUUCCGGGGUCUCCUCUCCCUCGUCCUGCACGCCUUGACCUCGACCUGACCUCCAGCGACUGCACAGAGCCCAGCCAGGCUCUGAAGCUGGGGAGGUGGGGGCCAACCCCUUUGCUCCCUCUCACCCCCCACCGCAUUCCCAUCUCUUGUCUAAAGGAAAUGUACAGAAGCAAGCGCAGCAGGGUCUGAAGAAGGGGCUCACCCCGGGCAGGGCAGGGUGGGGACAGGAGGGGCAGCCAGAGCCUCAGCCCACUCGGGCACCGGGGAGACCAGCUUGGGCCUCCCCUCUCUCAGGCUGGCCUGGCAGCUGCAGACUCCAUGCCUCCCCUCAGGCACCAUGUCACGGGGUCCCCGGGGUCGGGGGCAGCCGGGACAGCAAAGGAGAAGCUAGGUCUGUGACGGCAUCCCUUCCCUUAGCUCCUACAGGAAGCCCUCUUUGGUAUUUAAGGCAGAUGUAGAGUUUCCUGGAAGCAGGGAAAGGAAGGAAGGAAGGGGGGAGAAAUUAGGGUUGAGAGAGAAUUUUUUUUUUGCUUAUGCUUUUCCUUCAGUAUAAAACCACUGUAGAAAAUAACUUCUCUUAGAAAAAAAUACAGAAGAAAAAAAAAACCAAAGCGGGUGUUUUCUUUGGCUUCAAGCCUGCUCCCAUGAGGUGCAGGGCAGGGGUGGGCAUGAGGUGAGCAGGAAGCAGGGGCCUCCGCCCUCAGCCCUGCCCGGCAGGUCCCAGAUUACAUGAUGCUGCAGUUCUGGGGUUUCUAAGAGAGAAGAGAGGGGAGUGCGUGAGCCGAGGCCGCACUGGUCCCUACCUUCCCGGCCUGCGCCUGUGGAAGGAAGGUGGUGUUGCCCCAUCCCUCACCCUCCGCCCCCGCCCUCAAGUCUGGGGCUCAGACCGGAGGGGCAGGAAGUGGGAGUGGGCUGUUCAGGACCCAGGCUGAGGGGAGCUCCCACUCCCCCGGGCUGCGGAGGAGAAGGCUCUGUCCCCAGGCCCACUGUGUCCUAAGCCUCAGUGACCAGGGUCUGGUCUAGGGCCAACUCACCUGGGUUCGGGGCGGGAGUUGCCCAGGAGGUAGGAGCGGGUGACCAGGUUGUCCCCCGAAGCUGCCACCCCCACUGCCCCCCACACUGCGGUAGCUGCGAGUGACUGUGACACUGGAGGCGGAGGAGCCAGAGGAGAUGGAUCCGCCCAGCUGGGCUGCCGAGCUGCUGGCAGAUGCCUUGUCGGCUGGCUGCCCGCAUGUCCCGCACAGCACGGUGCGUGAGCGCAGGUUGUACUCGGCGGGGUCCCCCGAGCUGCUGCAGUGGGAGCCCUGGGGAGGGAGACAAGGCUCAGGCGGAACGGCGAGUCUGGGACCGACUGCUCAGAUGCCAGACACAGGCUCCGGCUCCUGUGGGCUGCCAGCCUUGGGCCGGUGGGCAGGCGGGAAGGUGGGGUUUGUGCUGGGAGCCAGAGGGGCUGGAAGUCAGGGGCUGGAAGGAGGAUGCAAAGGGGAGAAAGGUCAAGAAGAUGGAUGUAGAGAGUGGCUUUGACUCUGAGCUUAAGAGGAAAAGUGGGGUGGGGAAGGAACAAGCUUACAGAGCAGUAGACAUGCAAAGUUAAUUCGAGAGGGGCAGGAAUGAGAGAAAACAUUCUUGCAGAAGAAGUGAGGGCGGUAAAAGGACAUCGUGCUAUAAGACCAGAAGACAAGAAAGGAAAUGCAUGCAGCCUGAAAGGGGGAGAUGCAGGGCUGGAGCGCCCACCUCUGUCCUCCGUCCCCUGCCAGGAGACAAAUCCAGACAAAUCCUUGUCCCCUGCUCCCGUGGGAAUUCUCCACGGCACCAGGAAGUUCCCACUCCCUUCCUUACCAGAGGAGGGCGCCCAGACACCUGGGCUCCCUGCUCCAGGUAGGGGAGGAGAGAGAAGAAAGGCCAGGCAGCGAGUGAAGUUCCAAAACAUUCUUUAAUGAAAAGACUUUGGCAUGGGAGGCGGGGAGAGAGGCUGCCCAGGCCCCGGCGGGCGCGCUGCGGGCUGCUCAGCGGCGGCUGCCACUCACGUGGUGGUGAUGGAGCAGGUCCUCUCCAUCCUCAUCCUCGUCGUCCUCCACCACGGUCACGGAGCCGCACCAGCUUGCGCAUGGCCACCUCCUGCAAGGACGCAGGGUGCGGAAGGUCAGGGAGCAGAGCGGUAGCAGCCGGUCUACCUGCAGGGCCAGCUGGGACUUCCUGAACCAGGGGGCCUCGCUUUGCUUGGGAAGGAGCAGGGGAACCCUCCUGGCUGACCUCGCCCCUGGCCCUGUGGGCUGAGGACAGCUGCCCCAGCUCCGGCCACUAGGGGGGCCCCGGGAGCGGAGCGGCGCACGCACCUCGCCGGUGGAGUUGAUGAGAGCAGUGCGCAGGCUGUUGCCACAGCCCCAGGUGCUCUGUGCCUUCCACACCAGGUCGGUAGGGGGGCUGUGGGUGGCCCCGGCUCCUGAGGCCCAGAUCUGGGGAAAGAGGAUUAGAGGACAGCGCUCACUCUGCUGCUGCCGUCCUCAGCCCCAGGCGUCCCGCAGCACCUCCAGGCUCAGAGACUCACCGUCACAACCUGCCCAGCCUUCAGGGUGAAUUUUGGUGGGAAGGCGGUAGGUCAGCAAGGGGUCAUCUCCAUUCUGGCGCUUGAUCUGCCAGUUGCCCAUGGACUGGUCCUGCGGAGGGCAGGGACGAGAGGCAGGUUCAGUGUGCUGCUCCCGGGCCAGGCGGGGGCCGUGGGGCACAACUGCAGUGCCAGCCACUCCAGAGCUGAGCAUCACGUCACAGCGAGCCCAGGCAGGCCUGCCUCCGUCCACACAGGGAGGCUGCUUUCCCUCCCUCCACUCCCAGCCGCCUGUGCCCGGUCCCAAGGAUUUGUCCUUGCUCUUUUCCUCUUCCCACUCACUCACUUAGGGCCUAUUUUAUUUUUAUUUUUGGCAGUACUGUGGAUUGAAUCCAGGGCCUUUUCCACUGAGCUGCAUCCCCUUUUCACUGUGUGAGACAAGGUCUCACUAAGUGGCUAAGUCGCCCAGGCUGGGCCCACUCUUGCCUCCUCCCCAUCCUCCUGCCUCAGCCUCCCAGAGUACUGGGAUCACAGAGCGUGCAGCACACGCCUGGCACGUAGGGCCUGCUCCUCAUCCCUGUUGCAGGUUGGGAAACACCUGCCCCCGGGUUCACAGCGAGUCCAGGAGCCAGGCCCGGAGCUUGGCAGUGCCCCCUCCAGCCCUGCCUGGCAGCCUACCUCGUUGGACUUGUUGUGCAGCCGCACAAACUUGCCCCCCUCGUCCACCUCCUCCACGGCCACGCGCCCGCUAGUGCGCGCGUGCUGCGAGAAGCUGCUGCGGCUCUCUGUGGACUCCAGCUUGCGCUUUUUGGUGAUGCUGCCCCCGCGCCAUGCGUCUGGGAUGAGUGGGAGGAGGUGCGGCCGCGGCUGCGCUGCGAGGUGGGGCUGGGGGACAGGCGGAGCCUGGGGAGGCAGAGAGGCUGUCAGGCCUGAUGCAGGCGCCCACUGCCCCGCCCCCGCCUCCUCCUGGGGCACCCACCUCUCCUCCUCGCCCUCCAGGAGCUUGCGGUAGGCGUGGAUCUCCAUGUCCAGCGCCAGCUUGAUGUCCAGCAGCUCCUGGUACUCGUCAAGCUGCUGCUGCAUCCUGGCGCGCAUCUCCGCCAUCUCCCGCUCCUUGUCGGCCAGCAGCCGGCGGCUGGUGUCCCGUUCCCGGGCCAGCGCUUCCAGGUCCUUGAGCCGGGCCUGGGCGGCCAUCAGGUCACCCUCCUUUUUGGUGUUGCUGAAAAGAGAGAAGAGUAGGUUUCAGAAGAGUCGGCUCUCCCUGCAGCUGCCAGGAGGGGGCGUCCUGGCUUUAGGUUUGUGCAUCUGCCUGCCUCUGGGGCUGGGCUCCCACCUCCCCCAGGUCCCCCAAACCCCAUUCCUGUCCUCCACCCUUCCCAUGACUCAGGGCUCAGGAACGUGCCUAGGGCCAAGGGCAAAGCUAGAUCCCAUGAUAUGAAUGCUUUUCCUUCUCUCCCCUCCCAUUCCUCCCAAAGACACAGGGGCACCUUUGUCUGGCACCCCUCCCACACAGGGCCUUAACCUUCCCCUCCCUGGGCUCC